RNAcentral lists this long non-coding RNA (6358 nucleotides) under Marmota monax (woodchuck). The stretch from base 1317 to 1519 matches the Rfam family "Small nucleolar RNA SNORA73 family". Lineage: Eukaryota; Metazoa; Chordata; Mammalia; Rodentia; Sciuridae. The record is from RNAcentral.
GUCGGUCUUUUGGAGCGACGCCACCGUUCAACGCUGUUUGUGUUUGGUAAGUGCUUUUACCCGCGUGGUUCCUCGGCCUGAUCUGUUACUUUGGGUAGGCGUUCAACAUUCCCUGAGGAUCUUGUUGUUUAGAGGGAUUACCUUUAGCGGCAUCCACUCAAACUACAUUUAGGCAUGCGAUGGGGCUGAGAAGGAUGUGGGCCGCGCAGCCCCAGAAGCUUUUAAGGACUGCUAUCCGGGUGUCGGAGAUGACUAAGGCACAGCGUUAAUUGCUGCCUGGUACAUGAUCCGGAAAAGAACUGCACAUAAACGUUUCGUUCCAUAUCCGCGUUUUAAAAAUUUUCCAAAUUUCAGGCUGGGGUUGUGGCUCCACGGUGGAGCGCUUACCUAGGAUGCGUGAGGCACAGGAUUCGAUCCCCAGCACCAUAUUUUUAAAAAGAACUAAAGGCAUAAAAGGAAAAAAUGUAUUCAGGGCUAAGGUUGUGGCUCAGCGGUAGAGCGCUCGCCUAGCAUGCAAGGCCCUGGUUUCGAAGUAUGCAGGCUUCUUAUAGCGCUACAAUUUGUUUUUGUUAUUGGGGCAGUUUAGAGAUAUUAAGUGUUUGAUCGCUUAAUUAUGAGAUGACUUACUGUUUUUUUUUUUUCCUUUGUGGGGCUGGGGAUUGAACCCAGUGCCGCUAUCAACUAGAAACUAAUAAUUGGUACAGUGUUUUGUAAGUUAAAUUAAUUACAGUGACAGUCCAACGUGGAUACUCCCGGGAGGUCACUCUCCCCGGGCUCUGUCCAGGUGGCAUAGGGGAGCAUAGGGCUCUGCCCCAUGAUGUACAGUCCCUUUCCACAACGUUGGAGAUGAAGCUGGGCUUUGUGUCUGCACCUGCAUAUUCCUACGACUUCUCAGAGUCUGUGGACUAUGACUGAGGAGACAAACCAUGCAGGAAACAAAGUAUUUUGAUUAGUCUCCUGUUUAUGGUAGAUCUGCUUUAACCUUUUAUUGUAUUGAUAAGUGAAUGCUUUAUUUUGCAGAUUGAUGAUUCCAAAUACUUCUUGCUUGGGUAAGUAGCCGAUGGAUUUUUUUAACAAUGUAUGCUCAUGUUUGUGAAGAUUGCUAAGGUAUCACAUUUUAUGUGUUUGAGGAGAGGGUUCUAUUUAAAAGUGAAAAGACUUAAAAUGGAGUUCAAAGACUAGUUUGGGAUUCACUAAAAGCAGUUUCAAUCUAUCUACAGGUAUGGUCAGAGGUGAGAAAAAUUGAAGCACAUAAGGAUGUUUUGAGGAUCAAUGAUAUUUAGGACUGUUGGCAAACUCCACAGUACUCAAGCAUUCCAACGUGGAUAACCCGGGAGGUCACUCUCCCCGGGCUCUGUCCAGGUGGCAUAGGGGAGCAUAGGGCUCUGCCCCGUGAUGUACAGUCCCUUUCCACAACGUUGGAGAUGAAGCUGGGCUUUGUGUCUGCACCUGCAUAUUCCUACGACUUCUCAGAGUCUGUGGACUAUGACUGAGGAGACAAACCAUGCAGGAAACAAUAUCUAGCAUACUAAAAUUUUUUUAUUAGAGUAAGAUCUUCAGGAUUCUAAUCUUGAGUUUAUUUUCAUUCAGGAGAAGAAGAGCAAUAUUCAACUUCAGCUGAUAACUGGAUUUGGGAUCCUUUAAUCAGACGUAAGAAUGGUCAUUAUUAUUAAGAGUUUGAAAAUCAUCUCAACAAUUGUCUAGGAAUGCAAAUUCUGUUAUCCCAGAUUUAAACCUUGACUGCUGACAUAGGCUACCCAGUUCACCAAGUACUCCUGGAAAUUAAGGAAUUUAAGAAAGCACGGGGUCUCUAGAGGGCCUGUGAAGUUAAAAUUUGUCAUGGUGACUAAGAAUAUUUGGCAUUUUCCAAAUUCCAAACAAGAUCAGUCAUGUUUUCUAACAAAUGCACUGCAGAAGAACAUGUUGAUAUGUCUUGAGCAAAAUUCAUUAUGAUUUCCGUUUUAUACUGUUUGUAGUAUAUCUAACAUCUGAGGCAAGUUAAUGUGAAUUGAAAUAAAAAAAAAACUUGUGAAUUGAAAUAAGUGUGACUGCAUGUUUCUGUGGUUCUUUUUCAUGUAGCAUUGUUGGGCUUCAGCCAAAUUAAAUGGUGCUGGUUAACUAAGUUAGAUUUCACUGGGGUUAACUCAAAAGUAGUAUAAGGUCACAAGAGCAAGUCCCAGGUUUGUCCAUGUGUACAGCUAGUGUACUUGCUCUAUGCUCCUUCCUGAGAGCUUGAAAUUGUUGGCCUGCUUCAUCAUGUUAGAAAGUUAAGUCACAAUGGAAGCCUGGUCAAGUCUCUGCACUGGUUGCCAGCAGUGUGGGAAGAUUAAGUCCCUAACAGAUGGACCAGAGGGAAACCAUCUAGAAGGUAAGAUUUAAGGUCACUGGGAACAGGUUUGGUUGUGUGAAUUGUGUUUCUGUCAGCCAUCCCGGAGUUCAUCAGGGAAGAGCUUUGAGGGUAGGUGCUAGUUACACAUGGUUAUGGAACUACCAUAGCAGAAGUGAUUUACCCCGCCCCCCUUAAUUAAGAUAAUUUCACAUAAUUCAGUGGUGCAGUUAGUUUUCGGCGGACACAACAUCUUUGUAUGUGGUGCUGAGGAUCGUACCCAGGCCGCACGCAUGCCAAGCGAGCGCGCUACCGCUUGAGCCAUAUCCCUAGCCUGACAUCCAUGUUCUUUAAGCCCCACUGUUGUAAAGGUGAGACUGGCCUUGAAUUUGAGAUCCUCUUCCCUCCAUCUUCUGAGUUGCUGGGAUUACAGACAUGCGCUACCAUGCCAGCCCCACAUUUCAACGUUUUUAAUAUGCUAUAACACCUGUAAUUCCAGUGGCUUGAGAAACAGCAGGAUAACAAGUUUGAGGCCAGCCUCAGCAAUGGGUAAGGCACUAAACAACUUAAGACCCUGUCUCAAAAUAUACAAAGGGGUGGGAUGCAGGUCAGUGGUAAAACACCUCUGGGUUCAAUCCCUGGUACCUAGUGACAUUGAGGGGGGGGGUAUUUUGGGGUUUUGCAGUUUUGGGCGGACACAACAUCUUUGUGGUGCUGAGGAUCGAACCUGGGCCGCACGCAUGCCAGGCGAGCGCGCUACCGCUUGAGCCACAUCCCCAGACCAACAAGGCUGGUUUUGAACUCCUGCCUCAACUUCCCAAGCUUCUGGAAUUACAGGUGUACACCACCAUGCCCAGCUUGAAACCAGGAUCUUGUAUAACCUGGGCAAGUGCUCCACCACAGAACUACAUCCCCAACCCAUAAUAACUUUGAAUUCCAUCACUCAUCAUCUCUGCACUUCUGGGUCAGGUUCAAUUAAUGGAUAGUUUUUUUUGUUUUUUUUUUUGAAGUUUUUAAUGUUUUUUAUUUUUUAUUUUUCUUUGGACACAACAUCUUUAUAUUAUUUUUAUGUGGUACUGAGGAUAGAACCCAGAGCCCCCUGCAAGCCAGGCGAGCGCGCUACCACUUGAGCCACAUCCCCAGUCCCUGGAUAGUUUUUUUUAUGGUUCACAUUCAAUAAAAUAGUGAUAGGGUGUGAAAGAAAUUAAAGCUGAUGUUUGAUUCAGAGAUAGUUAUGUGGGCCCAAUAAGUCUUAAUGGAAGUAGGACUGAAUUGGGCCUUAAAAGAUGAAAAAUUCUGUUGCUAGACACAAUGGAGUAAACCUGUAAUCCCAGUGGUGUAGGAGACUAAGGCAGGAGGAUCACAAAUUCAAAGGCAGCCUCAACAAUUUAGCUAGGCCCUAAGCAACUUAGUGAGACUGUCUCAAAAAAAUUUUUUAGGGGCUGGGGAUGUGGCUCAAGCGGUAGCGUGCUCCUCUGGCAUGCUUGUGGCCCGGGUACAAUCCUCAGCACCACAUACAAAGAUGUUGUGUCUGCCGGAAACUAAAAAAAAUAAAAUAAAUGUAUAUAUAUUUAAAAUUCUCUCACUCAAAAAAUAAAAAAAAAUUAAAGGGCUGGGGAUGUGGCUCAAUGGUUAAGUGACCCUGGGUUCAAUCCCUGGUACAAAAAAAAAAAAGUAACAAGAAAUCUCAUUAUGUACCAAUAAAAAAUGUGGAAAGAGGGCUGGGGAUGUGGCUCAAGUGGUAGCGCGCUUGCCUGGCAUGCUUGAGGCACUGGGUUCGAUCCUUAGCACCAUAUAAAAAUAAAUAAGUGAAAUAAAGGUACUGUGUCCAACUACAAUUAAAAAAUAAUUUAAAAAUGUGGAAAGAAAAAUAGUAAAAUGAACUAUGAAACAUUAAAAUAAAUACAUAUAUAUUAUAUAUAUGAAUGAAGAAUUCAGGCUGGAGUGGCGCCACAUGCAUGUAAUCCCAGCUGCUCUGGAAGCUGACAAGAAGACUGCAAGUUUGAGUCCACCCUGGGCAAUCUACUGAGACCUAUCUCAAUUUAAAAGAAGAAAAAAGGCUUAGGAUGUAACUCAGUGCUAGAACACCCCAGGGUUCAAUCCCCAGUACCACCAAUAAAUAAAAUUAUAUGUAUAUACGUAAGUAUACAUAUGUGUGUGCUUAUAUACAUAUGUACAUACAUAUAUACUUACUGGGUUUAAUCUCCAAUAUGGCCAAAUGUAUAUAUGCGGGUGUGUAUAUACACAUACUUGUAUCAAGAAUUCAGGUAGUCAGAGCCAAGCACAGUGGUACACGCCUGUAAUCCCAGCAGCUCUGGAGGCUGAGGCAGGAGGAUCCAGAGUUCAAAGCCAGCCUCAGCAAUGGUGAGAUGCUUACCAACUUAGUGAAACCCUGUCUCUAAACAAAAAUACAAAAAUAGGGCUGCAGAUGUGGCUCAGUGGUUGAGUACCCCUGAGUUCAAUCCCCAGUACCAAAAAAUAAUAAUAUAUAUAUGCAUGCAUGCAGGAAGAAAGGCACCCUAGUAGAGGGAAUAGCCCAGAUAAAGGUGAGAGAGUGGAAAUGAAUAAUGGGCACUUUCAGAGUAGUGUAGCAGGUGAUAAAGAAAUACGAAAUUUACAGCUCAGGGCAUUUGUAGCCUUGUGUUCCAAGCAUAGCUCUAAAGAAGUACUUGUUGAGGGGCUGGGGAUAUAGCUCAGUUGGUAGAGUGCUUGCCUUGCAUGCCCAAGGCCCUGGGUUCAAACUUCAAUCCUCAGCACCAAUGAAUUAGAGGAGAGGCCAGGACAGUUUUAGACAAGAGGAGCAGAAAUGGAAAUACAGAGUGGGAAGAAUUAAAAAAAAAAAGAAAGAAAAGAAAAAACAAGGUUUAAACCUAUACUUUUCAGAGAACCCUAAUAUUGAUUGGAAGUUGGGGGAGGGAGUCUAAAUCCAUGGGAAAGUACUGAAUUGUGUGGGGCACAGUGGAACAUGCCUGUAGUCUCAGUGGCUUGAGAGGCUGAGGCAGGAGGAUCACAAAUUCAAAGCCAGCCUCAGCAACUUGAAGAGAACCUGUCUCUAAAUAAAAUUUAAAAGAGGAACUGGAGAUGUGGCUCAGUCACAAUGUGCCCUUGGGUUCAAGCCCUGGUACAAAAAAAAAAAAAAAAAGACAUUGAGUUGCUGGGCAUAACACAUGCCUAUAAUCCCAGUAACUUGGGAGGCUGAGAUAGGAAGAUGGCAAGUUUAAAGCAGCCCAAGAAACUUACUAAGAAAAAUGUUGGGUCUUCUGGAUAGAGAUGCAGGGUGGUAACUUGGGGUAGACAUCAGAACCAGCCCAAAUGGGCUGACAUGUCAAUUAAAAGGUGAUAGCCCAUGGCUAGGGAUGUAGCUCAAUGGUACAGAGGUUGCCUGAUUCACAUAAGGCCUUGAGUUUGAUCCCCAGGAUCACAAAAAAUGUGAUGGCCUAUCCUUAAGAGCCAGGUCUCCUUCCACCAGUUUUGUGAUGACCCUAGGGAACUUACUUAACCUCUUUGAAUUUCAUUUUCCAACUCAUGAAGUUUUUUUUUUUUUUUUUUUUUUUUUUUUUUUAAUAUUUAUUUUUUAGUUGUAGUUGUCAAUACCUUUAUUUUUUUAUGUGGUGCUGAGAAUCGAACCCAGGGCCUUGCACACGCUAGGCUAGUGCUCUACCACCGAGCCACAACCCCAGCCCCACUCAUGAAGUUUUUUAAGGAACAAAUGAGCCAAUGCCCAUGGACGUUUCUGUAGUUAACAAAUGGCUUUACAAAAUAGGUAAUAACCCUUUUUACAAUUAAAGCUAAGUGAAUGAGAAGAUCUUGAAGACAGAAGACAGAGAGAUCAGAGAUCCCAGGGUAAAAACUUGGAGAAAUUUCACAGUAUAUCAUCCAAAAAAGGAGUUCACGAUGGAGGCAGAGGUAAACUUGAACAGGUAAGAGACUCUGAAGGCAGGGAAGUGUUUUGGGGUGGGCACUGCAUAGUAGGAAAAAUUCAGUUGGAAAAUACUCAUCAAAAAUGUCCCUCUGGGGCCAGGAGCAGUGGCG